GACCAUUUUUAUAUGCAAGCUCCUGGAAUGCCUGUGGUUUCUCCAGCACCUGGGUCCUGCUGGCAACCAGCAGCACCCAGUGGCCAGCAGCGUACUCUUUCACCUCUUCUUGGGUGACUUUGUGGAAUGCUCCAAUGUGACAUCUCCCUGUGAACGCCUUUCCUGACACCCUAAAAAGUGUCAGGAAUUUCCAGCAAGUUCCAGAGAGCAGGUUUCCAGCAAGUUUGGUCAGUAUGACACCACAGCGAUAUCUCUGCCAUUCACUGAACUUGGAUUCUUCCUUCUUCAGUGAGAGAUGUUCAAGAAAAAGAACAACUUCAGUGGAAGAAGAAGAAGAUAGGAGCCCAGGUCCUGUGUUUCACCAAGACAGCCGUGCAAAGCAGAUGCUGCCAAAAAGGUGCAAAGUGGUUUGUCAGCUCUUCUGCAUGUUCUAACAAAUUAGACAUGCAUCCCAAAAGGUAUACUACAAUAUUAAAGCUUAUUUAUACACACUGUAAAGUUUCCCCUGAGUGUCCUGGCAGGCACUUGCAUGGCUGGGCAGUAUCCGUGGACUGAUUCCUUUGUGAAUUACAUGGAGCUGACAGGGCUGAAACCCACAGCUGACUCGGAGGAGGAUGGAAGCUUGUGCUGGGCAAGGGGCUGAAGCCCCUCUGUGUAAGUCAUAUUAAUCUCCUCUGAGCAGAGUGCUACAAAAUUACUAAAGCUGCUUCUUGAAGACACUUCUAAUGCAGUACCUAAUGAAAAUGUCAGGUGCGACAAGUUAUUAGUUGCUGCACUGCUGUUCUGAAGUCCCAGGUAUUUCUCUACCUGUUAUCCAUGAAUGUGAGUUUUGUGGGGAAGGCAGUCACAGGCUGAGGAAAGCAUCAGCAGUCAUGUGUGCUGUCAGGCCUGUAAAGUGAGUGAGGACAAUGAAGCUGGUUGAAGUGCCCCAGGAAAUGGCCAGACUUCCAUAGUGGAGGUGAGGUGAAGAAUUGAGUCCGGGCAAAGGUGUGUGGGGAGAAGAAGCUGCCUGGUGUACGAUGCUGAGUAAUGAUACAACCCAAAUCAUCUGACUCUGCAGAUUUGAAAGUUGCCGUUAUUAUUAAGAAUUCAGAUGGGAAAAGAAAUAUGGUUUGGGUUAUUUCCAUAGUCAUUCCAGAAAUCCAGGCUCAGUUUGGCAUUUAUUGACAUAACUGUUUAUAUUGGAUCUGUGUAGAAGUUUGUAUCUUUCUGACUUGCAUGAUACUUCAGCCUUUCCUUGGAGUCUCUGUGGCUUCUCUUCCUCCUUUGCUCACCUCCAGUCAUUGUCAAAUGGCUUUGUGCAAGUUACUCUUUCUCGGCCUCCAUUUUUUUGGAUCCUGCCUUUGCCGCCCUCCUUGCCUGUACUCUGUCCAGUCCAGGCCCUCUGGACCUCUUGCCUGGACCUCCAAGCUCUCCCUCCUCCCAUCUCUUCCCUUUCAACCUUCCUACCCAGAGCACAGCAGUAGUAACAGCUAACACCAUUUAAUAGGUAUCCUUUCUAUGCCAGGCCCUGGGGUUGCUAUGUCACAUAUAUUAUUUGUAAUGUUUGCAAUAACCCUGGAAAUGGUAUUAUUACCUCCAUUGUACAGUUUGGAAGGCACCAAAAAAGGCACAUGGGCCCACAUUCAUGCAAGCUAAUGAGGGGCAAAACUGGAAUGAGAACCCAGGGCCACUGGGUCCCUCAGCUUAUGCUGUUCCCUAACCAUACUGCUUCCUCCACUCAGAAUCCUUUAGUGGCUCCCAUUGCCUAAUAGAUCAAGUCUGGGCUCCUUAUCUUGGCUUCUGGGUCCUCUAAAAUGUAGUCUGCUAGGUUUCCAGGCUUUCCUCUCCACCCCUCACACAUCCUACUCUUUAGCCAAAAAAACAGACAAAAACCCUAAAAACAAAAAAAUCCAUUUUUUUAUUUAUACCCGUGCUUUCUUUCCUAAGUGCUUUUAUAUGUGCUAUUUCUCCUGCCAGGAGCAGAGACUGUCAUGCUUUCCUCUGUAUAAGUAAGUGUUGCCCAAGAAAACAUUGAACAGAGGUGGGCUAGAGAUCCAUUUAUUUUCUGGUUCACAAAGGGCAUAUUGGAUCUUUAUUAAAUAGUCUAAAAUGUCCUUUCAAUAAUGUUUUUCUUUAAUAUCUUUUUAAAAGACAUUUAAAGUGAAUCAGAAAGCAAUUAAAUGAUUAAUUGCUGUGGCUGAAUUCUGCUGCCCUCAGCCUCUGUGGAUGCUAUCUCACCGAUUAACCUCCAUUUCUAAGCUCUGUCUGAUUGAGGGAAGCAAUGACAGAAAACGCUUGGCCUGUCACAUGACUGAUCCUUGCUGUCAUGAGCCAUCGUUUUCUAACUGCAAGCUUUCAUUUUCAAAGCCCUGGCAUGAUUUCAGGAGCUGUAAACCCUCAUGUGAGUAAGUGAGCAGUAAGAACUGGCAGUUUUUCAAUCUUAAGUCUCUCCAGCUUUAAACCCACAUUUAGCUGUGAUUCUUUUUUUCUCCUUAAGUUGGACAUUUUUUUAGUGAAUACUUUUUUGAUAAAUAAAGUGGGGUGAAGGUGAACUUGACUGAGACAGAUAUGGGUUGGUCCGUUUAGGGCUGACCCUGGAAAAAAAAAGUUAUAUCAGUCUUGACAUUAAUUCCGUAGUCAGAGUAGGUGAGAGAGGAGUAGAUUAGUAUAUAGGGUUCCCAGCCUUCCCAGUACAACCAUGGACUCAGAGUUGGGGACACUAAAAAUGUACAUGAAGUUUAUGAUUUCACUGGUAGAGAUGGCCCACAAUGCCAGUUUGGACAGGCAUUACUCUAAACGUGGUGGGGAAGUCAGGAGACAUCUACUCCAAGGCAUAACCUCUAGGACAGUUUGUGGGGUAUCAGGGAAGGAUAUAUCAUUGGAAAGAUUUCUAGUUGCCAUACACAAAUAAUUGGGCUUCAGUUUAAUGCAUAAUUAACUGUUCUCAGUGUGUUAUUAGUUGGACAAUUGGAUUAUUACAUUAUUUACAUUAGUGUUUAUAGGUAAUCUGAAAACAAAAAUGUGAAUAUAAUAUGAACUACCUCAAAGAUUUGUCUCUGCUUAAUAGUUUUAUUUCAAAUUUGUAUAUCAAAUGUU
RNAcentral lists this long non-coding RNA (3078 nucleotides) under Homo sapiens (human). RNAcentral's name for it is "non-protein coding lnc-LARP1B-1:26". Lineage: Eukaryota; Metazoa; Chordata; Mammalia; Primates; Hominidae. The record is from RNAcentral.